This 225-nucleotide ribosomal RNA is filed under the name uncultured Prosthecobacter sp. RNAcentral's name for it is "partial 16S ribosomal RNA". It matches the Rfam family "Bacterial small subunit ribosomal RNA", at positions 568 to 792 of the family's 1533-position model. Lineage: Bacteria; Pseudomonadati; Verrucomicrobiota; Verrucomicrobiia; Verrucomicrobiales; Verrucomicrobiaceae. The record is from RNAcentral.
UGCGUAGGUGGCGUGGUAAGUCAGAUGUGAAAGCCCGGGGCUCAACCUCGGAACUGCAUCCGAUACUGCCAUGCUUGAGUACUGAAGAGGUGACUAGAAUUCUCGGUGUAGCAGUGAAAUGCGUAGAUAUCGAGAGGAAUACCAAAGGCGAAGGCAGGUCACUGGGCAGUUACUGACACUGAGGCACGAAGGCCAGGGGAGCAAACGGGAUUAGAUACCCCCGUA